GUUUGUAGCUCACUGGUAGAGCCCUUGCCUAGUAUGCAUGAGGCACUUGGUUCAAUUACCAGUACUACG
RNAcentral lists this transfer RNA (69 nucleotides) under Marmota monax (woodchuck). RNAcentral's name for it is "tRNA.Thr". The record is from RNAcentral. Lineage: Eukaryota; Metazoa; Chordata; Mammalia; Rodentia; Sciuridae.